Molecule: long non-coding RNA, 1030 nt
Organism: Xenopus laevis (African clawed frog)
Lineage: Eukaryota; Metazoa; Chordata; Amphibia; Anura; Pipidae
Exons: 3
Source: RefSeq, a predicted model, not a curated record
AGAGACUGCUCGGAUAUUCUUCUGCUUAGGAAAGAUGUAAGAAAGGUUUUUAAUUUUUUUUCCAAGCAGAAGAACAUCAGAGCAGCCUCUUUCUUUUUCCUGACAACUUCCUUGACUAGAAAGAUGAACAGAAAGAAAUCUGUUUCUUGAAAGACCCGGCUAAAGACUUAUUAAACCUGCAAAGGAAAGAAGUAAGUCUUACCUUACAUCAAAGCACUUUGAUACGUUAUGUUAAAGCCAAGCAAAUCCCACGUGGUCUACGGUUAGAUAUUACUCCAAAUCUGUGUACCGAUGACCCUGUAUUAAUGCAACGUUGGCAUGAGAUUACGAAUAAAUGCAGCCUGGACUUAAUGGUUUUAAUGAUUGAACGGGUCCAUUUCAAACUUACCAAUCUUAAGAAGCAAAUUACCAUAUCAAAGGCGGAGCUAACAACGAAGAUUGGCAUUGAGGAAGCAGAACGGCUCCUGAUCCGCCAUAAUGAAAAUCUCGAGAGACUGCGCCAAAGUAUACUCGCACGGAAGGUGACGAAACUGGCCAGAGAUGAGGAAGACUCAUUACCCGAGGAGGGACAGACGUCUGACAAGACCUUGAAACUAGAAAAGUUUAAAGGAAACAAAAUGCUACAUUAACGGCAGAAGUAGGGUGUUGAUUUCGUGUGGAUUGUAUCAUAUUAUAUAUUUAUUGAAUGACAUGUGCACAUUGGACACUUUGUAACUGAAUCUUUGCACAGCUGAUACUAAUUGUAUCUUUUUUUUUUUGGCAACAUUGCACAGAACAGCACUUAUGAAUAAGAUUGGACAUUAACCCACAAGUAAAAGACAUGGAGAAAAGUACCUUUUAUAAGUCUAUUUUAAAAAAAUGUUUUUUAGAUUUUUACCUUUAAUUGUAUCUAAUUAUCCAAGAUUGGAUGUUGAAGAUCACAUGGGUGUGAGGGGUGUGUUUAAAGGUUCACUGUGUACCUGUAAGUUUACACUUGAGAAAGGGCAACACCUGCCUGAAACAUGUCGUGUAAAGCAGCAUGAAUAAUAAA